RNAcentral lists this ribosomal RNA (460 nucleotides) under uncultured bacterium. RNAcentral describes it as "partial 16S ribosomal RNA". It matches the Rfam family "Bacterial small subunit ribosomal RNA", at positions 338 to 795 of the family's 1533-position model. The record is from RNAcentral.
CCUACGGGAGGCAGCAGUGAGGAAUAUUGGUCAAUGGGCGCAAGCCUGAACCAGCCAAGUCGCGUGAAGGAUGACUGCCCUACGGGUUGUAAACUUCUUUUAUAAAGGAAUAAAGUGAGGCACGUGUGCCUUUUUGUAUGUACCUUAUGAAUAAGGAGCGGCGAACUUCCUGCCAGCAGCCGCGGUAAUACGGAGGAUCCGAGCGUUAUCCGGAUUUAUUGGGUUUAAAGGGAGCGUAGAUGGGUUGUUAAGUCAGUUGUGAAAGUUUGCGGCUGAACCGUAAAAUUGCAAGUGAUACUGGAAGUCUUGAGUACAGGAGAGGUAGGCGGAAUUCGUGGUGUAGCGGUGAAAUGCUUAGAUAUCACGAAGAACUCCGAGUGCGAAGGCAGCUUACUGGACUGCAACUGACGUUGAUGCUCGAAAGUGUGGGUAUCAAACAGGAUUAGAUACCCCUGUAGUC